This 400-nucleotide ribosomal RNA is filed under the name uncultured bacterium. RNAcentral's name for it is "bacterial SSU rRNA". It matches the Rfam family "Bacterial small subunit ribosomal RNA", at positions 355 to 747 of the family's 1533-position model. The record is from RNAcentral.
UGGGGAAUAUUGCACAAUGGACGAAAGUCUGAUGCAGCGACGCCGCGUGGAGGAUGAAGGUCUGCGGAUUGUAAACUUCUGUUAAGCGAGAGAAAAGAGCUGUGGUGAAUAGCUACAGAAGAUGAUAGUAUCGCUAAAGAAAGCCCCGGCUAACUUCGUGCCAGCAGCCGCGGUAAGACGAGGGGGGCAAGCGUUAUUCGGAAUUACUGGGCGUAAAGAGCGUGUAGGUGGUUGUAUAAGUCAAUGGUUAAAUCUCAUGGCCUAACUGUGAGGCGGCUGUUGAAACUGUAUGACUAGAGUGUGGAAGAGAGAAGUGGAAUUCUCGGAGUAGCGGUAAAAUGCGUGGAUCUCGAGAGGAACACCAAUGGCGAAGGCAGCUUCUUGGUCCAAGACUGACACU